This 240-nucleotide unclassified non-coding RNA is filed under the name soil metagenome. RNAcentral describes it as "partial contains 5.8S ribosomal RNA, internal transcribed spacer 2, and large subunit ribosomal RNA". The record is from RNAcentral.
AACCUUAUGGACCUGCGGGUGUAUACCUGCGGAAGGAUCAUUACUGAGUUAGGGUAGUCACUCACUGCCCGACCUCCCAACCCUGUGUCUACCAUACUUUGUCGUUGCUUCGGCGGACCGGUUGACCAACUGGUCGUGACCGCCGGGGGCUGGCUCUGUCACCCCUGGAGAGCGUCCGCCGAUGGCCCAACCACAAAACUCUUGUACCGAAACGUGUCGUCUGAAUUAUAUUUGAGAAAU